This 75-nucleotide transfer RNA is filed under the name Planctomycetota bacterium. RNAcentral's name for it is "tRNA-Gly". It matches the Rfam family "tRNA". From Rfam's summary of the family: Transfer RNA (tRNA) molecules are approximately 80 nucleotides in length. Their secondary structure includes four short double-helical elements and three loops (D, anti-codon, and T loops). The record is from RNAcentral. Lineage: Bacteria; Pseudomonadati; Planctomycetota.
GCGGGUGUAGCUCAGUGGUAGAGCACUGCCUUGCCAAGGCAGAUGUCGAGGGUUCGAAUCCCUUCACCCGCUCCA